Monodelphis domestica (gray short-tailed opossum) is the source of this 5188-nucleotide non-coding RNA. The record is from RefSeq and is a predicted model, not a curated record. NCBI's taxonomy places the organism in Eukaryota, Metazoa, Chordata, Mammalia, Didelphimorphia, Didelphidae.
GGGUUAGGAGGCUUUAGUGUGUCUAGAAGAGAAAUGACAAGGGGUCUAAAGUAAAAGAGUAGCAAUUUUAAAAAAAAUGAAAACCAGAUUGGAGGGGCAGACAGGAAAACUAUUUCUAAGACAGAAUCAUAGGAUCUAGUAACUAAUUAAUUGUAGGGGGUGAGUGUCCAGGGAAGUCAGGAAUAACAGAUUUUAUUGGUAAGAUAAGUCAUCUGUUUUUUGCUAGGUUGAGCCUGAGGUCCUAGCAAGACCUCUAGGUAGAGAUAUCCAAUAGAUCACUGGAACUGAGAAAGUGAAGAAAGAACAGACUCCAACCCACUUUGAUAUGCCAGUUCAAUGAAGUGCUUGGCAGCUCAGGAGCAGAAAAAGUAUAUGGAUCCAAGGUUCCAAAAAUCAAAUGCUUUGGAGAAUAGAAGGGACUGAAAUUCAUUUUGAACAAGGGUGAAAGUUAGAGAAAGCUGCCAGUGUCUAAUUUCAGGUAAGAUAUCACCUGGCAAAAUGUCUUUGGGUUCAAAAGUUGACAGAAAAACAUAUAUUUGACCACCUAUUGUAUAUGAAUGAUACAUAUACAUGUACCUAGAGCUUCAUAGCUUACAAAACAGUUUCACAUAUAUUAUCUCACUUCAUCCUUACAAUUCUGUAAGGUAGUUACAGCAGGCAUUGUUCAUAUAUAUGUGUGUGUGUAUUUUUUUUUAAGAGAGAACUGUGGAUUCAAAUAAUUUUUUACUUGUUUCAGUCACAGCACUAGUGAUGGCAACACUGAGACUAGAAUCUAGGCCUUCUAACUCCUUUAAGUGUUCUUUCCCCUAUACUAUACCAAUACCACAGAAAUAAGUAAAGAAGGCAGGCCUUCACUGUAGCCUCAGAAAUGGAAUAUGUGUAACAACUCUCAAAAGAAUCAACUGCUAUUGGGUUAUACUUUGUUAUUCCUAGGGUUACCAGCAGCUACCUAGAUAGAAGGGAUCAUAUAUCAUGGACUUAGAACUGGAAAGGACCUUAGAGGCCAACUCUCUCAUUUGACACAUAAGGAAGUAGAGACUUAAAGAAGUUAUGUGAUUUGCCCAGUAAUAGAGAAUUUGAACCUAAGUCUUCUUGUCUAGGUCCAGCACUUUAUACAUUAUAACAUAAGAAAAUUGUGGCUUAAGGUCAUGUAGUUACUAAGAGGCUAAGAUCCAGUAUCCAAAGUCAGGUCUCCUAACUCCAAUCCCAUACUCACAAUUGAACCACAAUACCUCUAUAUGGCUGUGGCACCCUUACCUGAAAUCUCCAGAAGGACUUCAGCUUCUGCCUGUUGUUCCCCAAUUGUCACAGUACAGUAGUAAGAGCCUAGAUCUGCCAUAGCCACACGAUGGAGAAGAAGGGAAGCAUUGCCCUUCCGAAGACCCUCAGCACUUUCUGGUAGCUCUGUGCCUGGGCGCUGGGUCACCAAGAUUCCAUCAUAUUCUGCUAGGAGCUGCUGGCCAUGGUGCCAGGCAACGGUGGGAAUUGGUGUGUCCUCACCCACUACUGGGAAAAUGCACUGAAGAAGCACAUCUGACCCUGGGGAGACCAGCACUGGAGAAGGGUCCAUGGAAAUGUGGAAGGUAGCUGGAUUAGGAAAGGAAACUUACCAUGUGUAAAGCAGUGAUUCAAUGCCAGGAGGCCCCCUAGACCUUCCCAAAUGUGCUUUUAAAACAUCUGACAUAAGGGUGUAAAGCCACAAAGCAUACCUUUGAAAGAUAGCACUCUUCCCCCAUGCUCCCUACUGGGAUUUGUCUCUCAUGGAAUCACAGAUUGUCAGUGGAACCUCAGACUUCAUUUAUCCAACUUCAUUUAGAGGCCUUGGGCCACGAGAGCAAUCUGAGCAUGGUUUCCCUGCCAGUUAAGUACCCAUACAUAGGUAGGUCUUGCACUCAAGUCUACAGCAUAGCAUGGUGCUCUGCCUCCCCCCUUCCCUCACAGGCACUCACUGCCUCCCCCACCUCUCUAGCAAACCCCAAGGAGGACCUCAAGGGCAGGCGGGAUUCAAGUCCCCUGAUAGUCCUCCUCCAACUCACCAGCUCCCCCGAGCCAGAACCACAGUGUCCAUUCCAUACUGGCUGCCCCCACACACCUCCCCUAACUUGGGCUCUUUCGACUUGCCGCCCUUCAACUUGGCCCCGGGCUGCGGCUGAGCCCCGGCAGGCGGGAGGGAGCCAGGGGCCCGCCCCUGCUCCGAGGCCAAGGCUAAAACUGUGGGGGCGGAGACACAGGGAGGCUCCUACAUCCGAGACCUCGAACGCCCACUCGCCCCCCCCUGCCGGUAACGGCGCCGGCUCGCGCCGCUGAAGCUUUCCCGCCGCACCCACCCCCAACCUGCCGUCAUCGUCGUCGCCGUAACCAUAAGCUGAGAAGUGGAAAACAGCCAUUCCGAACGCCCACGGAAGCGUGCUGCGCAUGCGCCCCUCUCGCCUGGUAAGUGGGCGGAGUCCCGGAUGAGGAUUCCGCGUCGUAUCGGGGCGAAAGAAAGGCCGCACUCGCUGAUUGGCUGCGGGGCCUAGGCGCCACAAGCAUAAAAGGAAGACUCCCGGUGUGGAGGGACGGGGAGCCUCAGGCGUGUAUGCGCGCCUGAGUGGCAAUGCUUGUCUGAUCAUAGCUUACGCCGCGAUUCCCUUCCCCGUAUAGAACCAUCUCAAUUUCUUCUUUCAUCAUGGGUCACCCGACUUUGCAACAUAAAACCGGCCCAAUCACUCUUUAUUUUUUAUUAUUUGUUUUAUUGCUAUUCCUCCUCUUUUGUGGUUGGUAUAUCUAUGCCCGAAUGCACAUGCGGAGGGCUCUAGCAGAAGGAGCUGAUGAUGCCACCUGGAAUGACUUCAGGCCUCAAAGAUGGCAUCCGGUCCAUCUUCCCCCAAAUCAAGAGGUCUGCGGGUUAGACCUGGCCCAGGCCUGAAUCAGGGAAGUGUGUUCACAGCACCCAAAUCCAAACUGGCCAAUUCUCUUGGAGAGCUACUGGAAAGGAACAGCUGAGCUGAUUUGUUUCCUGUGACCUAGCUGAUGACAUGGAUUCAUAAUUGUUGCUGUGACUACAUCCGGUUCAUUUGAAAUGAGCAUCAUGCUGACUUAUAAGAUGAUCAAUGAAGUAACUGUGAUCAUAGUAGCAAGAGCAUCUGACUUCAAGACAUUUCAACUGUAACCUUACUUCCAAUACUUAUGACCAACCACAGACAAAUCGUUAGUCUGUUUUCCUCAUCAGUAAAAUGGGGAAGAUAUUUGUGCUACCUGCUUACAUUAUUUCUCUAAGAAAAUCUAUGCACCAAUAAAACUGAUCCUACUUUUUUGCCCUUCAGAGAAAAUAUAUUUGGUCCAAAAAUCCUUCAAGACUUAUAUCACUCCUCUAAUGAAACUUUCCCAUAUUAUAUACCAAACCAUCUCUCAAAAGGUCAUUUUAAGACCAAAGGACUGAGAUUACUAUCUCUGACAGGUAGUCUACCCCAAAUGAGUUUGGAUAUUUGAAUUUUACAUAACUAUAAAAUAAUGCAGUUCAAAUUCCACCUCUUCCAUGAAGCCCAUUAGUGGUACCCCUUAGCCAACAAACUCUUUAAAUUCCUGUUGAGCCAACUCUUAUGACUGAUCACUUAUUCAAGUUAUUUCUAUCCUUAUCUUCAUCAAUCUAUUUGAUGACAACAAAGCAUCUUAAUCAUUUGUUUCUUUAGCACCUAUGUGUAGGGGCUCACACAUAACUAAGUACUCAAUCACAUUUAGACUCAAAAGAAUCUCAAGAGGCUCAGUCAAUGUGGCUUAUUUACAGAUAGGGAAAGUGAAACCAAAAGACUUUAACAAUUUGCUCAUGGGGAUCACAGUUAGCUAAGAGGCAAAACCAGGACCUAAACUCCCUCAAGUGGGCUCUAGAAAGUAAAACAAACCAAACUUUGCUAGAAAGAUUUGAGGGGUCAGCUGGAUAGCUCAGUGGAAUGAGAGCCAGGCCUAGAGAUAGGAGGUCCUAGGUUCAAAUCUGGAUUCAGAUACUUCUUAGCUAUGUGGCCCUGGGCAAGUCACUUAACCCCCAUUGCCUAACCCUUACAUAGUAUUGAUUCUAAGAUGGAAGAUAAGGGGUUAAAAAAGAAAGAUAAUUUGAGAAUAGAUCACCCUCUCUAUGGGAAAGGGAGGGAAUUAUGGGUGUGCAACUCUGUAUACAAUGUUAGACUUGGUUAAUAAUUCUUUAUUGCGUGGUUUUAAAAAAUCCUUUGUUAAAAUGCAAUGCUGGUCAGGGAUCAUAGGAUCAUAGUUGGUCUGGAAAGGUAAACCAGGUUUCCCUUCACCCAAAUGGCCCCUGCUCAAGUCAUAGAUUUUGUAUCUCGAAUGCAUAAAAGAGUAAAGGAAUGAUCAUUACUGACUAGUAAACCUUUGCAAGCUCUAGUCCAGGAUUCUUUUAAAGUCAAACAAGAGAAUAGUAUUAUGCCCUCUGACAUUUAAGAAUGGGGCUAAGGGACAGCUGGAUAGCUCAGUGGAUUGAAUCAGGCCAAGAGACGGAGAUCCUAGGUUCAAAUCUGGCCUCAGACACUUCCCAGCUGUGUGACCCUGGACAAGUCACUUAACUCCCACUGCCUAGCCCUUACCACUCUUCUGCCUUGGAACCAAUACUCAGUAUCGAUUCUAAGAUAGAAGGUAAGGGUUUAAAAAAAAAAAGAAUGGGGCUGUUUAAGUGGCCAAAAAUAAAAACAGAACCGGUAUUAGAAUGAGAAGCAACAUGUACAGUAGGGUUCCUUCUACUUUCAUAAUGAAUGAAGAAAAGCGCUGAGGAGAGACAGAGCAAAAAGGCAGAAUAUAUCCUCACUUUGACAACUCAUGGACAUAAGAGAUGAGGAUUAACUCAUGGUGGAUAACUGAUAGAAGUGCAUAUUCCAAGAACAGCUAACUUCUACUUAAUCUCAGGACCACACUGACCAAUUCUUCAAAAUAUUCCACAAACAAGGAAAAAGUCACAUCCUACCUUCUCAACUUCUCUUGAUAGCAUUCCCUCUCUACUUCUUGAUCUGUCUCACAAUUGUUUCAAGUAUAUACUAAUUAUUUCCCAGGUAAGAUCAUAAUCUUUAAAGGUAGAGAAUAUGUCACUUGUUUAUCAUAGUGAAUACUUUGGAAAUACCACAGUAGUGAGUUAUCUGAUAAAUCAACUUGAAAUAUACAGAAAGCCUGAGUAAUUUUAAUGUAUGUUAAUGUCCCAAACACAGUU